GUACACGCUGUGACUAGCAUAUCAAUAAGCGGAGGAAAAGAAACUAACAAGGAUUCCCCUAGUAACGGCGAGUGAAGCGGGAAGAGCUCAAAUUUGAAAUCUUAAAGGGUUUCCCUUUACGAAUUGUAGUUUAAAGAAGUGUUUUCUGUUGAGGUUUUGGUAAAAGUUCUUUGGAAUAGGACAUCAUAGAGGGUGAGAAUCCCGUAUUUGACCUUUACUUUCAACUUUGUGAUACACUUUCAAAGAGUCGGAUUGUUUGGGAAUGCAGUCCAAAAUGGGUGGUAAAUUUCAUCUAAAGCUAAAUAUUGGCGAGAGACCGAUAGCGAACAAGUACCGUGAGGGAAAGAUGAAAAGAACUUUGAGAAGAGAGUUAAACAGUACGUGAAAUUGUCAAAAGGGAAGCGUUUGACACCAGUGUUGUUUUUCUGAAAAUCAAUUAAAGAACUGUUUAUGCUAAGCUGUUUAGACUUUAUCAGCUGUCUGUUUAGUUUUGAGCUUUUCUUUAAUGCACUUUUCAGUUAACAAGUCAACAUCAAUUUCUUUUGCUGUAAAAAAGCUUGAGGAAGGUGGCUUGAGAUUCGUCUUAAGUGUUUAUAGCCUCUUGCCUAUGCAGUCGGAGAGAUUGAGGUCUGCAGCGUAGAUCCUUCGGGGCUAAAUGCAUUUGUGCUAAGUUAUAGCAUUUUAUAGACAACUUGUUGACUAUGAUUUGUCUUGUAGCUUACUCGCUUAUGUUAUUUUACCUACGCUUAGGAUGUUGAGUCGUAGAGCACGCAG
RNAcentral lists this ribosomal RNA (774 nucleotides) under uncultured Neocallimastigales. RNAcentral's name for it is "partial large subunit ribosomal RNA". It matches the Rfam family "Eukaryotic large subunit ribosomal RNA", at positions 22 to 628 of the family's 3401-position model. The record is from RNAcentral. Lineage: Eukaryota; Fungi; Neocallimastigomycota; Neocallimastigomycetes; Neocallimastigales.